GCCCCGUUCGUCUAGCGGCCUAGGACGAUACCUUCUCAAGGUAUAGAUCGCCGGUUCGAAUCCGGCACGGGGUA
RNAcentral lists this transfer RNA (74 nucleotides) under Candidatus Gottesmanbacteria bacterium RIFCSPLOWO2_01_FULL_43_11b. RNAcentral describes it as "tRNA-Glu". It matches the Rfam family "tRNA". From Rfam's summary of the family: Transfer RNA (tRNA) molecules are approximately 80 nucleotides in length. Lineage: Bacteria; Candidatus Gottesmaniibacteriota. The record is from RNAcentral.